Molecule: long non-coding RNA, 657 nt
Filed under: Nicotiana tabacum (common tobacco)
Lineage: Eukaryota; Viridiplantae; Streptophyta; Magnoliopsida; Solanales; Solanaceae
Description: long non-coding RNA (NTAB_LNC013639)
Source: RNAcentral
AUCACUCCAUGAAACAAAAAAGGUCGGGGGCGCACUUCUGGAUUAAACAAAAAUCUGCUUUGUAUAUAGGGUGUCCACUACUAAUAUAUCACUAUUUUACCGAUCUUUACGUUGCUGAUGACCCCUCUCGCUAUAGCAUAGGUCCGUCUUUGCCUGCAGAUACAAUAAGAAGAAAUGAAGAGAUUUAUCAGGUGAAAAAAUAUUGUGUAGGGAAAAAGGAGAUUUGAAGACAAAAAAAGGCAUAGUUCUUCACUUAGUAUGCUGAUUGAGGGAUAACUAACUGCAAUUAUUUUCAUAAAAUGAAGAAACUAUUGUGGUCUAUAAUGCAACUAAUAGUCUCAUAUAUCUAAGGCAACAAAUAAAUUUACUAAAAAGAUGCUUAUAUGCAGUGAAUAAGUUUUUUCUUUCUCCUUUUCCUAAUAGGGAGCGCUUCCCCUUUUUAAUGGGCUCUACGUUGCGCGAAUUCAGAUUAGUCAGGUUAUUGAGUUCCGGAUAUUGAAUGGUUAAACAAAAAAAAAAAGAUUCUAAUGCUAAAUUAGAGAAAUGUGAAGAAGUAAGAAUAUGUACUGACAGAAAGAGAAUUGCAGAACAACUUAUUUAGAGAGCUCUGCAGUUGACGUGGACUCAUGAAUGAAGGAGGAGAAGAAUGGAGAAUUG